Paramuricea clavata is the source of this 842-nucleotide non-coding RNA. NCBI's taxonomy places the organism in Eukaryota, Metazoa, Cnidaria, Anthozoa, Malacalcyonacea, Plexauridae. The record is from the annotation of a GenBank genome assembly.
CAUGUUGCCUCGUGAUUUGUAAUUUAUGUGUGAACAUUUUCAAUUAACAUGCGUUGAAAUCAGAUUUUGUUGCAAGUUGCAGCAAUUUUGUUGCUCGUAUUACUCCAGCUAUAAUACGGAAUUCAAUACAAAAUUCCAUAGUUAGAUCAAUAGGACAAUGAACCAUGCAAUGAACUGAUUACUACUGCCUGUACCUGGCUUAGUACGCACCUCGUUAAUUGGUUAAUAUCAAACGCAUCUGAUUGGUUAAUCGGAUAUAUCAAACGUAUCUAAUUGGUUAAUGGGCCGUGAAUGGUUAGCAGUAGUGGCAGUUACAUCUUAAACCUCUCCAGUGAAAGUAGGGACACAGAACUGUGAAAGAUAUGAUGUAACAUUGUAACGCCUGCUUUCUAAAUGUUUCCUAAUAGACUAAAUAUUAUAUAUAAAUGUCACUCAUCUAAAGUAAGUUUCUCAUUUGUUUGAAAUUUACGUUAUCAUCUUGACAGUCUUUUUAACUUAUCCAGGGGCUGGUUGUUCAAAGCUGGGUUAGUUCUAUUCCUGGGUUAGAAUUUACCUAAACUUGUCAUUUCAGUUUUUGUACUUUUGCCCAUUUUAUUUUAAAACUUGAGAACUUCAAGAUUUCUGGAAAAAAUACUUGCAUGUUUAAUAUAAAGCAGCUGUUGGGGAAUAUUGCUUUAAAGUUUUUUGUUCAUCCAAGAUUAAGAUAACCUGCUUUUGAACAACCAGCCCAGGGGUGUAGGAAGCGUCAAAAGAUUGGGGGGGGCACCACCUUCCAGGGGCACUUUUUGAUAUUGAAAAGGGCACCUAAAAAAUUUUUCCCGGACAUGCAUAUUGGCGAUGGG